This 492-nucleotide ribosomal RNA is filed under the name uncultured bacterium. Its description in RNAcentral is "partial 16S ribosomal RNA". It matches the Rfam family "Bacterial small subunit ribosomal RNA", at positions 29 to 507 of the family's 1533-position model. The record is from RNAcentral.
AGUGAACGCUGGCGGUAGGCCUAACACAUGCAAGUCGAACGGCAGCACAGUAAGAGCUUGCUCUUACGGGUGUCGAGUGGCGGACGGUUGAGGAAUACAUCGGAAUCUACUUUUUCGUGGGGGAUAACGUCGGGAAACUUACUCUAAUACCGCAUACGUCCUACGUGUGAAAGCAGGCGAUCUUCUGACCUUGCGCUAUUGAAUGAGCCGAUGUCGGAUUAGCUAGUUGGCGGGGUAAAGGCGCACCAAGGCGACGAUCCGUAGCUGGUCUGAGAGGAUGAUCAGCCACACUGGAACUGAGACACGGUCCAGACUCCUACGGGAGGCAGCAGUGGGGAAUAUUGGACAAUGGGGGCAAGCCUGAUCCAGCCAUACCGCGUGGGUGAAGAAGGCCUUCGGGUUGUAAAGCCCUUUUGUUGGGAAAGAAAAGCAGCAGGUUAAUACCCCGCUGUUCUGACGGUACCCAAAGAAUAAGCACCGGCUAACUUCGUG